Molecule: ribosomal RNA, 253 nt
Filed under: uncultured bacterium
Lineage: Bacteria
Description: partial 16S ribosomal RNA
Rfam family: Bacterial small subunit ribosomal RNA
Source: RNAcentral
UACAGAGGGUGCAAGCGUUGUUCGGAAUUAUUGGGCGUAAAGCGCGUGUAGGCGGCUUUGCAAGUCGGGUGUGAAAGCCCUCAGCUUAACUGAGGAAGGGCGCCCGAAACUGCAGAGCUUGAGUACCGGAGAGGAUGGCGGAAUUCCCCAAGUAGAGGUGAAAUUCGUAGAUAUGGGGAGGAACACCGGUGGCGAAGGCGGCCAUCUGGACGAGUACUGACGCUGAGACGCGAAAGCGUGGGUAGCAAACAGG